GCUCUUUUAGCUCAGUUGGUUAGAGCAUCGUGCUUAUAACGCGAAGGUCGCGAGUUCGAUCCUCGCAUAGAGCA
This is a non-coding RNA of Mucor ambiguus, 74 nucleotides long. The record is from the annotation of a GenBank genome assembly. NCBI's taxonomy places the organism in Eukaryota, Fungi, Mucoromycota, Mucoromycetes, Mucorales, Mucoraceae.